CCUACGGGUGGCUGCAGUCGAGAAUCAUUCACAAUGGGGGAAACCCUGAUGGAGCGACGCCGCGUGGGGGAAUGAAGUUCUUCGGAUUUUAAACCCCUUUCAUGUGGGAGCAAAUUAAGAUGAUAGUACCACAAGAGGAAGAUACGGCCAACUCUGGGGCAGCUGUCGCGGUAAUACGGAGGGCUCAAGCAUUGUUCGGAAUCACUGUGCGUAAAGCGGGCGGAGGCCGGUUAGCAAGGCGUGUGUGAAAGGCGAGGGCUUAACCAGAGGACGGCACAUGAAACUGUGAGACUAGAGUAAUGGAGAGGGAAGCGGAAUUCUUGGUGUAGCAGUGAAAUGCGUAGAUAUCAAGAGGAACACUCAUGGCGAAGGCGGGUUGCUGGACCUUAACUGACGCUGAGGCACGAAAGCGAGGGGAGCGAACAGGAUUAGAUACCCGUGUAGUC
This 446-nucleotide ribosomal RNA is filed under the name uncultured bacterium. Its description in RNAcentral is "partial 16S ribosomal RNA". It matches the Rfam family "Bacterial small subunit ribosomal RNA", at positions 338 to 795 of the family's 1533-position model. The record is from RNAcentral.